This 439-nucleotide ribosomal RNA is filed under the name uncultured bacterium. Its description in RNAcentral is "partial 16S ribosomal RNA". It matches the Rfam family "Bacterial small subunit ribosomal RNA", at positions 339 to 795 of the family's 1533-position model. The record is from RNAcentral.
CUACGGGAGGCUGCAGUGGGGAAUAUUGCACAAUGGAGGAAACUCUGAUGCAGCAACGCCGCGUGGAGGAUGACACAUUUCGGUGCGUAAACUCCUUUUAUAUAAGAAGAUGAUGACGGUAUUAUAUGAAUAAGCACCGGCUAACUCCGUGCCAGCAGCCGCGGUAAUACGGGGGGUGCAAGCGUUACUCGGAAUCACUGGGCGUAAAGCGAGCGCAGGCGGGUAGAUAAGUUGGAAGUGAAAUCCUAUGGCUUAACCAUAGAACUGCUUCCAAAACUGUUUACCUAGAAUAUGGGAGAGGUAGAUGGAAUUUCUGGUGUAGGGGUAAAAUCCGUAGAGAUCAGAAGGAAUACCGAUUGCGAAGGCGAUCUACUGGAACAUUAUUGACGCUGAGGCUCGAAAGCGUGGGGAGCAAACAGGAUUAGAUACCCUGGUAGUC